GGAGGACCAUGGGCCAGUGGAAAAGCAUCUGCUUGUAAUGUGGAAGGUUCCAGGUUCAAACCCUGGUAUCUCCA
This 74-nucleotide transfer RNA is filed under the name Sphaerodactylus townsendi. RNAcentral describes it as "tRNA-Tyr". The record is from RNAcentral. Lineage: Eukaryota; Metazoa; Chordata; Lepidosauria; Squamata; Sphaerodactylidae.